This 563-nucleotide ribosomal RNA is filed under the name uncultured bacterium. RNAcentral's name for it is "bacterial SSU rRNA". It matches the Rfam family "Bacterial small subunit ribosomal RNA", at positions 335 to 917 of the family's 1533-position model. The record is from RNAcentral.
AUUCCUACGGGAGUCAGCAGUGAGGAAUAUUGGACAAUGGGGGCAACCCUGAUCCAGCCAUGCCGCGUGAGUGAAGAAGGCCCUCGGGUUGUAAAGCUCUUUCAGUCGCGACGAUAAUGACGGUAGCGACAGAAGAAGCCCCGGCUAACUCCGUGCCAGCAGCCGCGGUAAUACGGAGGGGGCAAGCGUUGUUCGGAAUCACUGGGCGUAAAGCGUGCGCAGGCGGCCAAUCAAGUCAGAAGUGAAAUCCCGGGGCUCAACCCCGGAACUGCUUUUGAAACUGGUUGGCUUGAGUCCGGGAGAGGUGAGUGGAAUUCCCAGUGUAGAGGUGAAAUUCGUAGAUAUUGGGAGGAACACCAGUGGCGUAGGCGACUCACUGGCCCGGAACUGACGCUCAGGCACGAAAGCGUGGGGAGCAAACAGGAUUAGAUACCCUGGUAGUCCACGCCGUAAACGAUGUGUGCUAGCUGUCGGAGUCUACGGCUUCGGUGGCGCAGCUAACGCAUUAAGCACACCGCCUGGGAAGUACGGUCGCAAGAUUAAAACUCAAAGGAAUUGACGGA